UUCACUCUAUCAGCAGUGAUUCAAGGCUUCGUCAGAUGCGCCCCUCAAUUAAAAGCAAUCUCUCACAGCCAAACACACGUCUCCACCAUCCUGACUUGUGGAAAUCUCAAAAGGCCAGCUCUUCUCAUGAGACUUCCACCGUGGCCUCAAAUUCUGUGAGAACAACUUCCCAGGAACUGGAAGAACAGAGGAGGACUUCAAGCAACCUCAGAUAAUCCUGCACAUUCUGCACCAGAACUGUUUAGCUUGUUUCUUCACUGCCCACUCCAUCCUCAACUUGCUCAUCUUCAGAUGAGCCCAAUGCCAAACAUCCUCCACCUACCUUCCUUGCUACUGUCUCCUGGAGCCCCAACCAAAACCACCCUGGACAGCAGCAUGCAUUGCUCAAAUCUUCACCAAUUCCCAUAGCCAUGCUGUCAGAGCUACAGAGUUAAUCCAUGGUCAGAGACUGGAUCUCCGCAGAACCGAGUCAACAGAAGAGCUCCAAGAGCUGUUUAAAAUGGCCCAGCAGGACUGACUUCAUUAGUUAGAGAUUACUUUAAAAAAGGGAAGACGACAGGGUGGGG
RNAcentral lists this long non-coding RNA (566 nucleotides) under Gopherus agassizii (Agassiz's desert tortoise). RNAcentral's name for it is "lncRNA (ENSGAGG00000015394.1)". Lineage: Eukaryota; Metazoa; Chordata; Testudines; Testudinidae. The record is from RNAcentral.